RNAcentral lists this long non-coding RNA (464 nucleotides) under Nicotiana tabacum (common tobacco). RNAcentral describes it as "long non-coding RNA (NTAB_LNC009087)". The record is from RNAcentral. Lineage: Eukaryota; Viridiplantae; Streptophyta; Magnoliopsida; Solanales; Solanaceae.
AAUCACAAAUAAGUCACCUCUGCACUUAUUGUUGAACUAGCAAUGUGAACACAAUUUGAAGUCAUCAUUUCUUGAAUUCAAAAUGCUUUAAAUCCAUUGAUAAAGAGUAUUCGCACAUACAGUAGUACAAACUAGAAUGAGAGAGAGUUUACAAAGAAACUUAACAGAUUUACCAUUACAUUGAAAGGCUUAAAUUAACUUCUCUUAACAGGAUCAAAGUUGGAAACACCAACAAUAGCUCCAAUAAUGGCAGUAAGCACAACCCCACCUGACACUAUGCUGAGCAAGAAGUUCUUCAAAGAUGGUGAAAGUCCUUCAGCAGCCUGAGCUACAUCUGGAACCACCAUUGAAGCUGUCAAAGCAGCUGCUGUUAGCCCAGUAAUUGCCUUCUCCUUCAAUGAAGCUGAUAUUUCAAGCUUUGAUUUUGAGACUUUGUUCACAAACACUGCCUUUGAUGGAUUCAC